GUGGGUACAGCUCAGUGGGAGAUCAUUUGCAUAGCAUGCACAAGGUCCCGAGUUCAAUUCUCAGCACCCCA
This 71-nucleotide transfer RNA is filed under the name Mus musculus (house mouse). Its description in RNAcentral is "tRNA-Ala". Lineage: Eukaryota; Metazoa; Chordata; Mammalia; Rodentia; Muridae. The record is from RNAcentral.